Molecule: ribosomal RNA, 430 nt
Filed under: uncultured bacterium
Lineage: Bacteria
Description: bacterial SSU rRNA
Rfam family: Bacterial small subunit ribosomal RNA
Source: RNAcentral
UGAGGAAUAUUGGUCAAUGGUCGGGAGACUGAACCAGCCAAGCCGCGUGAGGGAUGAAGGUACAGAGUAUCGUAAACCUCUUUUGUCAGGGAACAAAAGACGCCACGCGUGGCGCUCCGAGUGUACCUGAAGAAAAGCAUCGGCUAACUCCGUGCCAGCAGCCGCGGUAAUACGGAGGAUGCGAGCGUUAUCCGGAUUUAUUGGGUUUAAAGGGUGCGUAGGCGGCGAGUUAAGUCAGCGGUAAAAGCCCGGGGCUCAACCCGGCCCGCCGUCGAAACUGGCUUGCUUGAGUUGGAGAGAAGUAGGCGGAAUGCGCGGUGUAGCGGUGAAAUGCUUAGAUAUCGCGCAGAACUCCGAUUGCGAAGGCAGCCUACCGGCUCCAGACUGACGCUGAGGCACGAAAGUGUGGGGAUCAACAGGAUUAGAUACC